GGGGUUGACGGUACCCUACUAGAAAGGAGCCGCUAACUUCGAGCCAGAAGCGUCGGUAAUACGGGGGCUCCAAGCGUUAUCCGGUGUUAUUGGGCGUAAAGAGUCGCGUACGUGGUUGGGUAAGUUAUCUUUCAAAUAUCUUUGCUUAACAAAGAGGAGGGGGAUAAUACUGCUCGACUAGAAUUUUCUCAAGGGAGAUCGGAACUGAGGGAGGAGUAGUGAAAUGCGUUGAUACCCUCGGGAACACCAGUGGCGUAGGCGGAUCUCUGGGAGAAGAUUGACACUGAGACACGAAAGCUAGGGGAGCGAAGCAGAUUAGAGACCUGCGUAGUCCUAGCCGUAAACGCAUGCUUGCUAGCUGCAUGAAUCUACCUUCGGGUGGUAUCGUGUGGCGAAGGUAACCCGUUAAGCAAGCCGCCUGGAAAGUACGGCCGCAAGGCUGAAAUUCAAAGGAAUUGGCGGGGAGGCACACAACCAGUGGAACAUGUGGUUUAAUUCGAGACUAACCGAAGAACCUCACCAGGGUUUGACAUGUAGCUGCACGUCUUAAGAAAUUAAGACUCUCUUGAAGGUGCUACACAGGUGCUGCAUGGCUGUCGUCAGCUCGUUCCGUGAGGAGUGCCCUUAAGUGGGACAACGAGCGCAACCCCUAUUACAUGUUAGAAAUGUCAUGUAAGACUGCCUUGCCAUUUGGCGGGGAGGAAGGAGGGGCAGACGUCAAGUCCGCAUGGUCCUUAUGCCCUGGGCUACACACAUGUUACAAUGAGUACGGCAAUGAGUCUGUCGCGAGCACGUAAGUGUAAGCUAAUCUCUUAAAUGUACUCUCAGUGGGGAUUGAGGUCUGCAACUCGACCUCAUGAACACGGAAUUGGUAGUAAUCGCGGGUCAGCUAUACCGCGGUGAUACGUUCUUGCCUCUUGCACACACCGCCCGUCAAACCAGCAAAGUCGAUUGUAUCCGAACCUCUCUUUU
This 972-nucleotide ribosomal RNA is filed under the name uncultured organism. RNAcentral describes it as "bacterial SSU rRNA". It matches the Rfam family "Bacterial small subunit ribosomal RNA", at positions 465 to 1435 of the family's 1533-position model. The record is from RNAcentral.